GCGGGGUUUCCCCGGUCACGUGAGGGUCGGGGGGCGGCCGGAGCGAUGGCGGCGGCGUCCGGGCCUCUCCCCGGUGUGGAUCAUCUGGUGGCGGAAAAGUUUGGAUCUCGUCCUGAAGCUCCUCCCACACUCCCCACACUCAUAGGGCCGUUCUCCCGUGUGGCUCCUCUGGUGGACAAUAAGCUAUAACCGAAGGCUCCACUGAGGGGCUAGCUGUCGGUCCACAUCACUGUGAACUUGACCUGCUAGAGCUUUGUACUACUGGGAGCUGAGGAACUGGGGACUUUUCUUUCAACGCUGGAAAGUCAUUCUUCCAAUGUCCCCAUUUUUUACAUUAAAGUGAUCUUUCUCCAUAGGAGAUGUUUUCUUGGA
Molecule: long non-coding RNA, 372 nt
Organism: Vidua macroura (Pin-tailed whydah)
Lineage: Eukaryota; Metazoa; Chordata; Aves; Passeriformes; Viduidae
Exons: 3
Source: RefSeq, a predicted model, not a curated record